GUGGAAUUCCUAAAAUCGGAUUUCAUUCCGACAUUCGUUCAGCUAGUACAAGACAGAAGGAACAGGCAAUUAUUCCGAUGAUUUUGGUUAUGGGACACAACAAGAAUUAUUUGCACAUGCACCAGUAAUGAAUUGUCGUGUUGCAUCAAUGUCCUGCCAGAAGUGUGUGACGCAGAUAUUCCCACCAAAAUGCGGUUGUUAACAAUUUUGUUGUCAGCUGCUGAUCCAGUGGCCCGUUCUAAUGUUACCAAAGCAUUACAGGAGAUCAAGUGAUUCUUAGACGCAAGCUUUGUGGAUUCACUGGUCCUACCCUAGACAAACAAAAUGGCGUUGCAGACAUUGAAGUUGAAGACUGUGCUGCGUGUUACAAAUGCCCCAACUACCCAUUUGUUCUAAAAAAGCCUGAGUAAAGAGAAAGGGUAAUUGAAAGAACUCACUCUGCGAUUGGACAAGAGAGAGUGUAAGUUCGAAGAUCUGACUCUGUGGAUGGACAACAAAGAUUGUGAGUUCAAGGAACUCACUCAGCUGAUGCAAGAAGUAGUUAAUACAGUAUC
Molecule: long non-coding RNA, 554 nt
Organism: Bradysia coprophila
Lineage: Eukaryota; Metazoa; Arthropoda; Insecta; Diptera; Sciaridae
Source: RefSeq, a predicted model, not a curated record